Molecule: transfer RNA, 87 nt
Filed under: Gammaproteobacteria bacterium
Lineage: Bacteria; Pseudomonadati; Pseudomonadota; Gammaproteobacteria
Also listed under: 1 other name
Description: tRNA-Leu
Rfam family: tRNA
About the family: Transfer RNA (tRNA) molecules are approximately 80 nucleotides in length.
Source: RNAcentral
GCCGAGGUGGCGGAAUUGGUAGACGCGCUGGCUUCAGGUGCCAGUGAUGGCAACAUCGUGGAGGUUCAAGUCCUCUCCUCGGCACCA